Molecule: unclassified non-coding RNA, 240 nt
Filed under: Hevea brasiliensis (rubber tree)
Lineage: Eukaryota; Viridiplantae; Streptophyta; Magnoliopsida; Malpighiales; Euphorbiaceae
Source: RNAcentral
GGAACAUUGUAUUCGCUCUACUCUUCCUCCUCAUUUUUGGAUUUAUUGAGGGUGUCUAUCUUUCCUCCGCACUCAGAAAAGUACCAAAGGGAGGUUGGGCGCCACUCGUCCUCUCCUUCAUCUUCAUGGUUGUCAUGUAUGUCUGGCACUAUGGAACUCGACGGAAAUAUCUCUUCGACCUACAAAACAAGGUCUCAAUGAAGUGGAUUCUCACGCUUGGUCCUAGCCUCGGAAUCGUUC